RNAcentral lists this ribosomal RNA (497 nucleotides) under uncultured bacterium. RNAcentral describes it as "partial 16S ribosomal RNA". It matches the Rfam family "Bacterial small subunit ribosomal RNA", at positions 28 to 507 of the family's 1533-position model. The record is from RNAcentral.
GAUGAACGCUGGCGGCGUGCCUAAUACAUGCAAGUCGAGCGAACAGAUGAGGAGCUUGCUCCUCUGACGUUAGCGGCGGACGGGUGAGUAACACGUGGAUAACCUACCUAUAAGACUGGGAUAACUUCGGGAAACCGGAGCUAAUACCGGAUAAUAUAUUGAACCGCAUGGUUCCAUAGUGAAAGACGGUUUUGCUGUCACUUAUAGAUGGAUCCGCGCCGCAUUAGCUAGUUGGUAAGGUAACGGCUUACCAAGGCAACGAUGCGUAGCCGACCUGAGAGGGUGAUCGGCCACACUGGAAGUGAGACACGGUCCAGACUCCUACGGGAGGCAGCAGUAGGGAAUCUUCCGCAAUGGGCGAAAGCCUGACGGAGCAACGCCGCGUGAGUGAUGAAGGUCUUCGGAUCGUAAAACUCUGUUAUUAGGGAAGAACAAAUGUGUAAGUAACUAUGCACGUCUUGACGGUACCUAAUCAGAAAGCCACGGCUAACUACGUG